This 680-nucleotide ribosomal RNA is filed under the name Klebsiella pneumoniae. RNAcentral's name for it is "bacterial SSU rRNA". It matches the Rfam family "Bacterial small subunit ribosomal RNA", at positions 853 to 1533 of the family's 1533-position model. The record is from RNAcentral. RNAcentral also lists the same sequence under 1 other name. Lineage: Bacteria; Pseudomonadati; Pseudomonadota; Gammaproteobacteria; Enterobacterales; Enterobacteriaceae.
UAACGCGUUAAAUCGACCGCCUGGGGAGUACGGCCGCAAGGUUAAAACUCAAAUGAAUUGACGGGGGCCCGCACAAGCGGUGGAGCAUGUGGUUUAAUUCGAUGCAACGCGAAGAACCUUACCUGGUCUUGACAUCCACAGAACUUUCCAGAGAUGGAUUGGUGCCUUCGGGAACUGUGAGACAGGUGCUGCAUGGCUGUCGUCAGCUCGUGUUGUGAAAUGUUGGGUUAAGUCCCGCAACGAGCGCAACCCUUAUCCUUUGUUGCCAGCGGUUAGGCCGGGAACUCAAAGGAGACUGCCAGUGAUAAACUGGAGGAAGGUGGGGAUGACGUCAAGUCAUCAUGGCCCUUACGACCAGGGCUACACACGUGCUACAAUGGCAUAUACAAAGAGAAGCGACCUCGCGAGAGCAAGCGGACCUCAUAAAGUAUGUCGUAGUCCGGAUUGGAGUCUGCAACUCGACUCCAUGAAGUCGGAAUCGCUAGUAAUCGUAGAUCAGAAUGCUACGGUGAAUACGUUCCCGGGCCUUGUACACACCGCCCGUCACACCAUGGGAGUGGGUUGCAAAAGAAGUAGGUAGCUUAACCUUCGGGAGGGCGCUUACCACUUUGUGAUUCAUGACUGGGGUGAAGUCGUAACAAGGUAACCGUAGGGGAACCUGCGGUUGGAUCACCUCCUUA